CAAUAGCGUAUAUUAACGUUGUUGCAGUUAAAAAGCUCGUAGUUGGAUUUCUGGAGGGAGCGUCGGCCCGUAUUUACGAGUGCGUGACGUCUCUGUCCAUCCUUGCGGGAAGGCACGGCAUUGAUUUGUUGUGUCGGAUCGCAUCAUAUACUGUGAAAAAAUUAGAGUGUUCAAAGCAGGCUUUCGCUUGAAUACAUUAGCAUGGAAUAAUAAGAUAGGACUUUGGUGCUAUUUUGUUGGUUGAGCCUAAAGUAAUGAUUAAUAGGGAUAGUUGGGGGCACCUGUAUUGCGUUGUCAGAGGUGAAAUUCUUGGAUUUACGCAAGACAAACAGCUGCGAAAGCGUCUGCCAAGGAUGUUUUCAUUAA
Molecule: ribosomal RNA, 366 nt
Filed under: uncultured eukaryote
Lineage: Eukaryota
Description: partial 18S ribosomal RNA
Rfam family: Eukaryotic small subunit ribosomal RNA
Source: RNAcentral